UGACAUCUCUCCAGGAGGGGGGUGAUGGGAAGGAGGAGGUCACUGACAUCUCUCCAGGAGGGGGAAGACGGGAAGGAGGAGGUCACUGACAUCUCUCCAGGAGGGGGGUGAUGGGAAGGAGGAGGUCACUGACAUCUCUCCAGGAGGGGGGUGAUGGGAAGGAGGAGGUCACUGACAUCUCUCCAGGCGGGGGGUGAUGGGAAGGAGGAGGUCACUGACAUUUCUCCCACCCGCAGAGACGCCGUCGGACUCGGACCACAAGAAGAAGAAAAAGAAGAAAGAUGAUGAUCCCGACCGGAAAAAGAAGAAGAAAGAGAAGAAGAAGAAGAAGAACCGUCACAGCCCCGACCACCCGGCAAUGAGCACAGCACAGACUGGCAGCAGCCUGCGGUAGUGAUGGGGGUGUGAGCCUGACCCUGUGACCCCUCACCUUUCACCCCCCACAACGCUGCCCCAGGCUCCCAGGGGACACCGGUGGGCGGAGGCAGUGGAUCCGGGGCGCCGUGUGUACCCGCCCUCCAGCGAGAAAGGACUGGGCCAGCCUGCCCGCUCCGCCACGGCAGCUUCGUUCUGCCUCGUCUCGUUUACAGUGUGCAAUAAAACGCUUUCUGUUCCUCGGUG
Hypanus sabinus (Atlantic stingray) is the source of this 621-nucleotide long non-coding RNA. RefSeq lists it as uncharacterized. Lineage: Eukaryota; Metazoa; Chordata; Chondrichthyes; Myliobatiformes; Dasyatidae. The transcript has 2 exons. The record is from RefSeq and is a predicted model, not a curated record.